GUGCUGCCCAGGAUCAGGAGGCUGAGACGUGAUCUGGAAGUGAGUGCCCAUCCAUACACCUUCCCCAGCUUUGGGGCCACAGAGGGACAGAAACCGCAGGCAGGCUGGCCUGGGAAUGAACCUACACCAGCCUGAAGUCAGAAGAGCCUCUAGGAGCCUCCAGCCUGGACUCUUUUUACAGAUGGGGAAACUGAGUCCCAGAGAGGGAGCAAUGAAGGAUGUCUAAGGUCAUCAGCAACGUAAAGCCAACAGCAUCAUCCUGAGUCAUGUUUGAACCUGAGGGAAAGAAACAUAUGUUCGAAGAGGUUCUGAGGCUGCUGCACCCGAUAUCAUACCUGGUUGGCCCUGGGAAAGGGCCCACCUCCAAUACAUAAACACAACCAGCUUUGACAGGCUUGCCCAGCUGAGGCAUUGGAGCAGGGCAUUUUGAUAGUGGCUGGAGGGCAGGCAGCUCAACCUCUAAACCCCCCUGGUCUGGGCACCAAGUCCUGUCCUGGGCACGGGACACAGUCCUCCAGCGAGACCAAACCCAGCUUCUCUACAGCACCAGGAAGAAGGCAAGCUGGGCCACCAGGGCGCGGCCCCAGGAAGGAAAAUCCUCCAUGGUCCUGUUGACAGAUGUGGUAUCAAAUGAAUUGUUCUCUGCUUAGACACGACUUUGAUAUUUAUUGGUUCAAAUUGCUCGGCUGACUCAGUCUUGCGGAGCCCUGAAGCAUGGCAUUGAGAAGCUGCCUAAGAAGGAGGCAGAUCCAUCAGCCUGGGUGCCCGACUGAUUACCCUGAGCAGAGCUCCCCAGCCCACCUGUGAUGGACGCAUGGAGCUUGAGCAAGGAAUAAAUAUUCGUUGCUGCCUGAGAACCCCACUGCGGAUGAGAACAAACGUUUGUUCGGCUGACCCUUUCUCAGAUCCCGCCCACUGAGAAGUGACAGUCCCUCCUCUCCCCGCCUCUCCCUGACCCCCAGCUCUCCGCGGCGGGAUCUGAGCCCUCUCCUGCUGGACUUGUGGUACUUGCUGAACAAUCUCGUGUUGUUGUCUGCCCGCUGGGAGAGAACACUGAUAAGAGAGGCGAUUAGGUGACUAAAUCUGCUGGGACUCUGAUUACACUGGACCUAUCCAAGAUCUGAGAUCAUCAACUCAUCUCAAAAUCCUUAAGCUGACCACAGCAGCAUCGUCCCUUUUGCAGUGUAAGGGAGCCCAGCUGGGACAAUGUGUGAAUCAACGCAUGAAGGAGUGAGUGAGCAGCUAACCAAAUGAAAGAAUACUCAGAUAUCUGGGGUACAGUUCCCCUCCAGGUUUGCACAGCAUCUGCUGAAGUCUCCACUAGAAACUCAAUGGAAGGUCCCCACCGGAAACUGAAAGUCUCCUAGAGUGGCUUUGAGUUGCGGUUUCACCCUCCCUGCAGAUCCACAGGUGAGGUGGAGGCUGGGGCAGAUGGAAAAUACCAACUUGAUGGUCUGUGGCCACACCAUGCUGCUCCCCAAGGCCCCUCAGAAUUUCACUGCCCAAUAUGGUAGCGCCCAGCCUGAAACGUGGCCAGUGUGAAUUGAGAUGGGCUGGAAAUGCACCAGACUUCCAAGAGCUGGACAAAAACCAUAUACGUUCCAUCCAGCUGUUUGGCAUUGGAUACUGCUGCCUCUGCUUGACUUGAGAAUGUGUGAGAAAAGCUGUGUUUAGACAACUGAAAACCAUGAGCUUGAAAGUAGUGGGGGCACACUCUUGGAGACUCCAGUUGCUCACCAGCUUGGACAAACCACUGGACUCAAAUGAUCAGGUAGAAAUUCAUCACUGGAGAGAACACAGUGGAAUGGCUUCAGCGAAAACUCACUCUGAAGGUCUUCAGGGCAACUUUAAGACUUGCCCCUGGCCGGGCACAGUGGCUUAUGCCUAUAAUCCCAGCACUUUGGGAGGCCGAGGCGGGUGGAUCACCUGAGGUCAGGAGUUCAAGACCGAAGGAACACAGGCUCAGACAUCAGUGCCAUAUCUGAAGACAUUCAGCUAAUAACAGGAUGGAGUCCAAUCUGGAACAACUGUCACGCUGAGCCUAAUUGCUGAAGAUGGUUGAAGGCACCAGGAGGCUGGAGUUUCCUGGAGGUGGUUUGUGGCCAACCGUCAAUUACUUGGGCUGCUGUGCAGUGGGGAUAGAAGGAUGAUUAGAAUCCACAGACAACCCAUUGGCCUUUGUUUACCAUUAACUUCUGUUUUCUCCACCAGCCAAGCUCCUCCAGACCCAGGAGAUGGCUCUUCCCUCUGUGUAGCACACUCUUUCCAGUCAAGGGGUCUUGCACUGCUAUUUCCCCUUCUGCUUUGCUUGGUUCAUUCUUACUGACCCUCCAAAUACUGAAGGAAUGAAUGGAGAAAUAAGUAAAUGAGAGAUGUGGCCAAGAGUCUCCAAGAGAGGAAAUUAAAAAAUCCUAUACCUGUGAGGAACUGGCCCACUUGCAAAAG
Molecule: long non-coding RNA, 2445 nt
Filed under: Homo sapiens (human)
Lineage: Eukaryota; Metazoa; Chordata; Mammalia; Primates; Hominidae
Description: long non-coding RNA NONHSAT203623.1
Source: RNAcentral